This 253-nucleotide ribosomal RNA is filed under the name uncultured bacterium. RNAcentral's name for it is "partial 16S ribosomal RNA". It matches the Rfam family "Bacterial small subunit ribosomal RNA", at positions 524 to 776 of the family's 1533-position model. The record is from RNAcentral.
UACGAAGGGGGCUAGCGUUGCUCGGAAUCACUGGGCGUAAAGCGCACGUAGGCGGAUUGCUAAGUCAGGGGUGAAAUCCUGGAGCUCAACUCCAGAACUGCCCUUGAUACUGGCGGUCUCGAGUCCGGGAGAGGUGAGUGGAACUGCGAGUGUAGAGGUGAAAUUCGUAGAUAUUCGCAAGAACACCGGUGGCGAAGGCGGCAUCCUGGACCAAUUCUGACGCUGAGGAGCGAAAGCCAGGGGGGCAAACGGG